Molecule: long non-coding RNA, 473 nt
Organism: Harmonia axyridis
Lineage: Eukaryota; Metazoa; Arthropoda; Insecta; Coleoptera; Coccinellidae
Exons: 2
Source: RefSeq, a predicted model, not a curated record
CUGAACUCAUAUUUGGUAUUUUGGCAUUUUUCAUCUCUUUAUCAUUCGGAAAAGGGUAAGUACAGUAAUGUGCUUAUCCAAGUUAUUCGUACGUAGUAUAAAUAUCUCACCAAAUUAUAAUCAUGAAAUAGUGUUCCAUCAGAGUCAUAUCUGGCUGAAAUAUAAUAUUUUGAUCGUUAUGAAGAAUACCAUCUUUUCUAUUUUCUUCUUGAUGUUUCUUUUUGAAACAUUCUCCUCUACUAUUCCUAUAGAACCGAAAGGGGAAAUUCUUCAUAGAGUUCGCAGAUUCACUUGUGAUGUCUUGAGUAUCGAAGCAGGAUUCGUCAAAAUUAGCCACGCUGCAUGUGCAUUACAUUGUGUCGCCCUUGACUACAAGGGAGGAUAUUGUAACGACAAAACAGUUUGUGUCUGUAGAAAUUGAAGAUUGAUUUGCUAUGUAAACAUAUAAUAUAAGAUAAUAAUGUACUUAUUCA